UAGGGAAUAUUGCGCAAUGGCCGCAAGGCUGACGCAGCAACGCCGCGUGACUGAUGAAGCUUUAAGGAGUGUAAAAGUCUGUUAGGAGGGACGAAUAAUUCAAACGUUAAUAACUUUUGAACGUGACGGUACCUCCAGAGAAAGCUCCGGCCAACUCCGUGCCAGCAGCCGCGGUAAUACGGGGGGAGCAAGCGUUGUCCGGAAUUACUGGGCGUAAAGAGCGCGUAGGCGGAUCUGUAAGUCAGGAGUGAAAUUUGUCGGCUCAACCGGCAAACUGCUUUUGAUACUGCAGGUCUCGAGUAAGACAGAGGAAAGUGGAAUUCCUGGUGUAGCGGUGAAAUGUGUAGAUAUCAGGAAGAACACCGGUAGCGAAGGCGGCUUUCUGGGUCUUUACUGACGCUGAGGCGCGAAAGCGUGGGUAGCAAACAGG
RNAcentral lists this ribosomal RNA (430 nucleotides) under uncultured bacterium. RNAcentral describes it as "bacterial SSU rRNA". It matches the Rfam family "Bacterial small subunit ribosomal RNA", at positions 355 to 776 of the family's 1533-position model. The record is from RNAcentral.